Molecule: unclassified non-coding RNA, 332 nt
Filed under: soil metagenome
Description: partial contains 5.8S ribosomal RNA, internal transcribed spacer 2, and large subunit ribosomal RNA
Rfam family: 5.8S ribosomal RNA (bases 1-120)
Source: RNAcentral
GAUGAAGAACGUAGCGAAAUGCGAUAAGUAGUGUGAAUUGCAGAAUUCAGUGAAUCAUCGAAUCUUUGAACGCACAUUGCGCCCUUUGGUAUUCCUUAGGGCAUGCCUGUUCGAGCGUCAUUUAAACCUUCAAGCUCAGCUUGGUGUUGGGUGACUGUCCGCUUCACCGCGGACUCGCCUCAAAAUUAUUGGCGGCCGGUACAUUGGCUUCGAGCGCAGCAGAAACGCGAACUCGGGCCUGUCGUAUUGGCUCCCAGAAGCUAUCUUCACAAUUUUGACCUCGGAUCAGGUAGGGAUACCCGCUGAACUUAAGCAUAUCAAUAAGCGGAGGA